Molecule: ribosomal RNA, 497 nt
Filed under: uncultured bacterium
Lineage: Bacteria
Description: partial 16S ribosomal RNA
Rfam family: Bacterial small subunit ribosomal RNA
Source: RNAcentral
GAUGAACGCUGGCGGCGUGCCUAAUACAUGCAAGUCGAGCGAACAGACGAUGCGCUUGCUCCUCUGACGUUAGCGGCGGACGGGUGAGUAACACGUGGAUAACCUCCCUAUAAGACUGGGAUAACUUCGGGAAACCGGCGCUAAUACCGGAUAAUAUAUUGAACCGCAUGGUUCAAUAGUAAAAGACGGUUUUGCUGUCACUUAUAGCUGUAUCCGCGCCGCAUUAGCUGGUUGGUAAGGUAACGGCUUACCAAGGCAACGAUGCGUAGCCGACCUGUGAGGGUGAUCGGCCGCACUGGAGCUGAGACACCCUCCAUACUCCUACGGGAGGCACCAGUCGGGAAUCGUCCGCAAUAGGCGGGAGCUUGACGCAGUAGCGCCGCGCGUGUGAUGAAGGUCUUCGGAGCGUAAAGCUCUCUUAUUGGGGAAGAACAAAUGUGUAAGGAACUAUGCACGUCUUGACGGUACCUAAUCAGAAAGCCACGGCUAACUACGUG